UGGAUGUCUCACAUUGCUCCCUGAACCUGAAGGGAACAGUUUGAAGUUCAGAGACUCUUGACUCUAUUUUCCGCAUAAACUUCAUCAUCUAGUCAUGGACCAAGAGUUAAAUUCUGCUUCAAAUGAGCGUCUGCUCGUAACAAUUAUGAUGACGUGGACAGUAUUACUCUUGUUUCUGAUAAUAUUGUUCAUAAAACUGUGUGUUGCUUUCUACUAUUUCAUUCGUAGAAGGCGCACCUUUUACAACAUACUUUAAACAGUAUGUGGCCACAUUGGAUCCCUCCACAUAUCAGCAUUGGUGAAAAACAUCAAACUCACAGGCAGAUAUGAAACCUAAAUAAAAAGAUCUCACCAUCAAC
This is a long non-coding RNA of Mastomys coucha (southern multimammate mouse), 359 nucleotides long. RefSeq lists it as uncharacterized. The transcript has 2 exons. The record is from RefSeq and is a predicted model, not a curated record. Lineage: Eukaryota; Metazoa; Chordata; Mammalia; Rodentia; Muridae.